Molecule: transfer RNA, 68 nt
Filed under: Marmota monax (woodchuck)
Lineage: Eukaryota; Metazoa; Chordata; Mammalia; Rodentia; Sciuridae
Description: tRNA.Ala
Source: RNAcentral
GGAUUGUGGCUCAGAGGUAGUGUGCUCGCCUAGCAUGCGUGAGGCACUAGGUUCGAUCCUCAGCACCA